This 274-nucleotide ribosomal RNA is filed under the name uncultured bacterium. RNAcentral's name for it is "partial 16S ribosomal RNA". It matches the Rfam family "Bacterial small subunit ribosomal RNA", at positions 523 to 796 of the family's 1533-position model. The record is from RNAcentral.
AUACAGAGGGUGCAAGCGUUAAUCGGAAUUACUGGGCGUAAAGCGCGCGUAGGUGGUUAUUUAAGUCGUAUGUGAAAGCCCCGAGCUCAACUUGGGAACAGCAUAUGUAACUGGGUAACUAGAGUACAGUAGAGGAGAGUAGAAUUUCAGGUGUAGCGGUGAAAUGCGUAGAGAUCUGAAGGAAUAUCAGUGGAGAAGGCGACUCUCUGGGCUGAUACUGACACUGAGGUGCGAAAGCGUGGGUAGCAAACAGGAUUAGAAACCCCAGUAGUCC